RNAcentral lists this ribosomal RNA (565 nucleotides) under uncultured bacterium. Its description in RNAcentral is "partial 16S ribosomal RNA". It matches the Rfam family "Bacterial small subunit ribosomal RNA", at positions 355 to 907 of the family's 1533-position model. The record is from RNAcentral.
UGGGGAAUAUUGGACAAUGGGCGCAAGCCUGAUCCAGCAAUGCCGCGUGUGUGAAGAAGGCCUUCGGGUUGUAAAGCACUUUUAUCAGGAGCGAAACGCUGUCGGCUAAUACCCGGCGGAACUGACGGUACCUGAGGAAUAAGCACCGGCUAACUUCGUGCCAGCAGCCGCGGUAAUACGAAGGGUGCAAGCGUUAAUCGGAAUUACUGGGCGUAAAGCGUGCGUAGGCGGUUUCUUAAGUCUGCUGUGAAAUCCCCGGGCUCAACCUGGGAAUGGCAGUGGAUACUGGGAGGCUAGAGUGUGUCAGAGGGUGGUGGAAUUCCCGGUGUAGCGGUGAAAUGCGUAGAGAUCGGGAGGAACAUCAGUGGCGAAGGCGGCCACCUGGGACAACACUGACGCUGAGGCACGAAAGCGUGGGGGAGCAAACAGGAUUAGAUACCCUGGUAGUCCACGCCCUAAAAGCGAUGCGAACUGGAUGUUGGUCUCAACUCGGAGAUCAGUGUCGAAGCUAACGCGUUAAGUUCGCCGCCCUGGGGAGUACGGUCGCAAGACUGAAACUUAAAUG